GGGGGCGUAAAGGUUUCGACGGGGAUUGUGAGCCUUGGUAAGCGAGUAGCGGUGCGGGCCCGCUUUAAAAUCCGCAACUUUUAAAAACAAACGACAACAACACUGUUGCGCUCGCGGCCUAAUUAGGCUGCCGUCUCUACCCGGAAUACCGCGGCCGGGAUAGAGGCGUGAUGAAGCGGUGAACGUGAACGGGGAGGUGCCGCUGUCCCCGUCAUGAACAAGGCGGCUACCGUAACUGGAAGCCUGCCGUUCGGCGUCCGGUGAGGGGAAUCCCAAAAGAUCGGCUGCACUCGGAGAAAGCCUCGGCAAGUGAUUUUCGGACAGGGGUUCGAUUCCCCUCGCCUCCACCA
Molecule: transfer-messenger RNA, 350 nt
Filed under: human gut metagenome
Rfam family: transfer-messenger RNA
About the family: Bacterial tmRNA, also known as 10Sa RNA or SsrA, is named for its dual tRNA and mRNA-like properties. Its role is to liberate the mRNA from a stalled ribosome.
Source: RNAcentral